UUAAGUGACUAAGCGUACACGGUGGAUGCCUUGGCAGUUGGAGGCGAUGAAGGACGUAUUAACUUGCGAUAAGCCUAGUCAAGCUAGUAAAAAGCGCUUGAGACUAGGAUUUCCGAAUGGGGAAACCCACCUGCUUGCAGGUAUCUUACACUGAAUACAUAGGUGUAAGAGGCGAACGCGGAGAACUGAAACAUCUAAGUACCCGUAGGAACAGAAAUCAACCGAGAUUCCGGAAGUAGCGGCGAGCGAAACCGGACCAGCCCUUAAGCUUAUUAUGUGUUAGUGGAACAUUCUGGAAAGUUUGACGAUACAGGGUGAUAGUCCCGUACACGAAAAUGCAUCUUAAGUGAAAUCGAGUAGGUCGGAGCACGUGAAACUUUGACUGAAUAUAGGUGGACCAUCAUCUAAGGCUAAAUACUCCCAACUGACCGAUAGUGAACCAGUACCGUGAGGGAAAGGCGAAAAGAACCCCUGUGAGGGGAGUGAAAUAGAACCUGAAACCGUGUACGUACAAGCAGUAGGAGCCCUUCGAGGGUGACUGCGUACCUUUUGUAUAAUGGGUCAGCGACUUAUAUUUUGUAGCGAGGUUAACCGAUUAGGGUAGCCGUAGGGAAACCGAGUCUUAACUGGGCGUAUAGUUGCAAGGUAUAGACCCGAAACCCGGUGAUCUAGCCAUGGGCAGGUUGAAGGUUGAGUAACAUCAACUGGAGGACCGAACCCACUAACGUUGAAAAGUUAGGGGAUGACCUGUGGCUAGGAGUGAAAGGCUAAUCAAACCGGGAGAUAGCUGGUUCUCCCCGAAAUCUAUUUAGGUAGAGCCUCGGACGAAUACUUACGGGGGUAGAGCACUGUUAAGGCUAGGGGGUCAUCCCGACUUACCAACCCUUUGCAAACUCCGAAUACCGUAAAGUACUAUCCGGGAGACACACGGCGGGUGCUAACGUCCGUCGUGAAGAGGGAAACAACCCAGACCGCCAGCUAAGGUCCCAAAGUCAUAGUUAAGUGGGAAACGAUGUGGAAAGGCCCAGACAGCCAGGAGGUUGGCUUAGAAGCAGCCAUCCUUUAAAGAAAGCGUAAUAGCUCACUGGUCGAGUCGGUCUGCGCGGAAGAUGUAACGGGGCUAAACUAUGCACCGAAGCUGCGGAUUCAAACUUUGUUUGAGUGGUAGGGGAGCGUUCUGUAAGCCGUUGAAGGUGAACCGGGAGGUUUGCUGGAGGUAUCAGAAGUGCGAAUGCUGACAUGAGUAACGAUAAUGCGGGUGAAAAACCCGCACGCCGGAAGACCAAGGGUUCCUAUCCCAUGUUAAUCAGGGUAGGGUAAGUCGACCCCUAAGGCGAGGCCGAAAGGCGUAGUCGAUGGGAAACGGGUUAAUAUUCCCGUACUUGGUAUAAUUGCGAUGGGGGGACGGAGCAGGCUAAACAAGCAUGGCGUUGGUUGUCCAUGUGAAAGUGAGUAGGUUGGUGACUUAGGAAAAUCCGGGUUGCUAAGACUGAGACACGAGACGAGCACCCAAGGGUGUGAAGUUGUUGAUGCCAUACUUCCAGGAAAAGCCUCUAAGCUUCAGAUUAUACCGAAUCGUACCCCAAACCGACACAGGUGGUCAGGUAGAGAAUACUAAGGCGCUUGAGAGAACUCGGGUGAAGGAACUAGGCAAAAUUGUACCGUAACUUCGGGAGAAGGUACGCUCCUAUCUGUGAUGAGACUUGCUCUCUAAGCGGACGGGAGCCGCAGUGACCAGGUGGCUGGGACUGUUUAUUAAAAACACAGCACUGUGCAAAAUCGCAAGAUGACGUAUACGGUGUGACACCUGCCCGGUGCCGGAAGGUUAAUUGAUGGGGUUAGUUUUCGGACGAAGCUCUUGAUCGAAGCCCCGGUAAACGGCGGCCGUAACUAUAACGGUCCUAAGGUAGCGAAAUUCCUUGUC
RNAcentral lists this ribosomal RNA (1924 nucleotides) under marine sediment metagenome. RNAcentral describes it as "bacterial LSU rRNA". It matches the Rfam family "Bacterial large subunit ribosomal RNA", at positions 1 to 1973 of the family's 2925-position model. The record is from RNAcentral.